GAUGAACGCUGGCGGCGUGCUUAACACAUGCAAGUCGAACGGACCCGCAAGGGUUAGUGGCGCACGGGUGAGGAACACGUAGCUUACCUGCCCCAAAGUCUGGGAUAACUCCUCGAAAGAGGUGCUAAUACCGGAUAAGCUCACGGUGACUAGAAAUCCGUGAGAAAAGGUUACGCUUUGGGAGGGGGCUGCGGCCCAUCAGAUAGUAGGUGAGGUAACGGCUCACCUAGUCUACGACGGGUAGGGGACCUGAGAGGGUGACCCCCCACACUGGGACUGAGACACGGCCCAGACUCCUACGGGAGGCAGCAGUGAGGAAUAUUGCACAAUGGGCGAAAGCCUGAUGCAGCGACGCCGCGUGGACGAUGAAGGUUUUCGGAUCGUAAAGUCCUUUUCUGUGUGACGAGCAAGGACGGUAG
This 419-nucleotide ribosomal RNA is filed under the name uncultured bacterium. RNAcentral's name for it is "bacterial SSU rRNA". It matches the Rfam family "Bacterial small subunit ribosomal RNA", at positions 28 to 478 of the family's 1533-position model. The record is from RNAcentral.